RNAcentral lists this ribosomal RNA (379 nucleotides) under Tuber mexiusanum. RNAcentral's name for it is "eukaryotic LSU rRNA". The stretch from base 1 to 123 matches the Rfam family "5.8S ribosomal RNA", at positions 32 to 154 of the family's 154-position model. The record is from RNAcentral. Lineage: Eukaryota; Fungi; Ascomycota; Pezizomycetes; Pezizales; Tuberaceae.
AUCGAUGAAGAACGCAGCGAAAUGCGAUAAGUAAUGUGAAUUGCAGAAUUCAGUGAAUCAUCGAAUCUUUGAACGCACAUUGCGCCCUUUGGCAUUCCAUAGGGCAUGCCUGUUCGAGCGUCACUAACAACCCCAUCACAAACGGUGUGGUAUUGGCAGAAGUGGGUAGGGCUGGCAGUGUCGGCCCCACUCUGCUGGAAUGAAUAGGCCGGAAAUGUAGACCAUGAUAACAGACUUUCAGAGUAUCCCCCUGAUGCUAAAUUAGUUUGUAGGCUGGUCAGAAUCCAGGCUGAUGGGCCCCCAUUCUGUGUAAAGCAGUAAUGUUGACCUCGGAUCAGGUAGGGAUACCCGCUGAACUUAAGCAUAUCAAUAAGCGGAG